AAGAAACAGUGGGAAUUCAGAAGAGGAGGAGUAUUUUAGUAGCCUUUGCAGGUAACUGUGGAUAUUGUCUUUUAACGUUACACCAAACUACUUUCUUCACGACAGUCUGCGCGUGAAAGCUAACACCCUAUCCAUGAACUUCUCUUACUCUUAAAUUCCAUUGCCCUGUCUUGAAAUUUGAACGCAUCUUUUACUAGGCAUGAUUUGUAACAUCAUUCGUUCAUCAUCUGGAAAACCAAUGGUGCACUGAGUUCUUCAGAUCUUCUGACACAUUUUUAAAAGAAGACAUUUGCUAUUACCACUAAUCUCAGAAAAGUCUGUCUUUUGAGAACCUGGUAAGCUCUCAGGUAGAUUCGAAUUUCCUGAAAUUCUGUUUUUUUGUUUGAAACCUUCAGUUUUAUCACUGGUGACAAAUGGGAAAAGAUCUGCCAAAUAAGCAAGUCUGAAUCAACAUAGUAUGCCAGUUGUUCUUUCAAAUAAAAAUGGUGUUCCAUGAGAAAAGAAGCUACUUGAGUUUGUAUUGCGAAGUGUCCUCAAGAUAGCUAACUGCUAAAACUGUAGCUGAAGCACUUUCAAAUGUACUUCCUGUUUCAUUACACAGGAUAUUGAAAAGGCUUGUAUUGAAGAGUCAAAUUUUACUCCUGUGUCAGGACAUUGCGCAGUGCAAUUGCACGGUGGUGGUUUUCUUCACUGUGGGUGCUGUCUGGUGCCAGUCUCGAGUCAUGGACACUUUUACCCACCUUUGCACCAUCAGUGCAAAUGCCCCAACACUGAAAAAGGAAAAUAAUGUCUCGGUAUUACUGUGGAAAUCAUUUUGACCUUGUGGACUCUCACAGCAAGUUUCUCAGAACCUUCCUCCAGGAAACCAGGGACCACACUUUUAGGAAUCACUGUUGUAAGCCAUGUGUUCGCUUAUAUUAAGAACUCUUGACUACCCUGUCUCUUCACACUCCUGAUGUUAGAAACAUAGCCUUUUACGAGUGUAAAGCACAACAUAAACGCCACAGUGAAGUGUGAUUAGAGAGCAGACAAUAACAACCCCACUUACCUUAGGAGAAGAAAUCUUUACGUAUACUAUAAUGGGGGCCAAGGAAGUUUUACUAAGUUGAGCUGGAUGAUUAAUAGUAUCUGCGUCAAGGACUACCAGUUGCAAUGUUCUUGCAAGUUCAAAAAUCCUUUCGAUUUCACUCUGAACUUCCGCUGUAAAAGGUGAAGCAGAGUUCAAUUAAAGUAUUUUUAGACCCAAUAGAAAUAAAGUAAAAUGCUACACUGUUUCUUCACCUGGAAGGCAGGUAGGACAGCCAGUAGGUUAAUGUUCAUAGGCAACAGAGCUGAUAAAAGGUAUCCUUUGGAAAGAGCUGUCUCUCCAAAGUACCUUUAGAAUUGAGGGAAUUCUUUCAACGAGCUAUAAAAUUUGCUUCCGGUAUAACAGUUUGAGUAGGAGAAUCAAAAUAGUUGGCUAUCUGUGCUGACUUACUUUUUGUGCUGUAAAACUUCACUCUGUGAAAUCAUUUCAUAAAAAUGUUGUAAAAUAGAAACAAUGUGUUUGUUUCUGACCACGUUACCAUAGCAACUGUCACCACCUUUCUUUUCACUGUAUCAGCUUAAUCUGUGUUUAUACUGUUACCUAUUGGUAUGCUUUCUGGAUAUGAUAAUCUACAUAAAUGUAUUAGCAAGCUGAAAUACAACAUUAAAAACAGGAGAGACGUUAAUGGUAUCUAUAACAAACUUGUCCAAAAACACACUUUUCAUGGCUUCUACCAACAGACGAAUGGCCCUGCAGUAUUCCUAUUCUAAAAGGGUAGUUCUCCAUUAGAAGCAGCACUACAGGGCACCUGGAUGGCUCGUUCAGUUGAGCAUCCGACUCUUGAUUUCUGCUCAGGUCAUGGUCUCGCGGUUUGUGAGUGCGAACCCUGCAUCUGGCUCUCUGCUGACAGCAUGGAACCUGCUUGAGAUUCUCUCCUUCUGCCCCUCCCUUGCUUGCACUCUCUCAAACAUUUAAAAAAAAAAAAAAAAAAGCAAAAAUCCAAACGAUAAGGUUUAUAGAGAAAGUAUCAACUAAAAAUAUGCUUGAACACCAGGGAAAUUUCAUUCAGUCUGUCUACCCCAUGAUCUCUCUAGAAUCUAAAACAGGAUGUCCAAUAUAAUGUUCUGUGAUGAUGGAAAUAGUCUGUAUCAAUGCUGUCCACCCGAUAGCCGGCCACUGAGCACUCGAAAUGUAGUGUGAAUGAGAAGCUGAAUUUUUAAACUUAAAGUGAAAUAGCCAGAAGCAUAGAUCUGUCAAGCCUAGCAUGCAGCUUGCAGUGUCUACUACAACCAUGAAGGGCAGGUUCCUUGAGACUCCUAGCCCUACAGAAUACCUUUCAAGUCCUCUUAUUUGGUUCUGUGCAGAAGAUUCCUGGAGGUAAUUUCCACUACUGCAGAAAAGAUAAGUCACUAAUCAUCUGCCUCACAACAUGUUAUGACUAGACUCCUUUUAUUCACCCGGAUGUCUUUAAAAUCUGGACUUAAACCACCUGCAAUACCAGCUUUAAAAUAAUAUUCGGUUACAUGCAACUCGUGACAAUCUUGCAGGAAGGAAAAACAAAACCCGAUUAAGCUUCUGGAUCUACCAGUUUAUAAGAAACAGAACAAUUAAAUAAACUACACUAUAAUGCAGUUACCAAACUUUGGACUAUGGAAAACUAUGCAUAAGUGACCCAGACUCUUUAAGCAAAAAGUUACAAGGGGAAAAAAAAAAAAGAUAUAUGGAAAACUAUAGACUAAGAAACUUAAGGACCUUUGAACCACUCACUGUGGACUUUAAUUCGCAUCCUGACUUUAUAUAUUUACAACGCAUAAGUGAAUAAAAUAUAAAAAAUAUAUAUGACAAUUAGGAAAUGAUACAUGGCUGAAUAGAAAUCUCAUGAUACUAGGGAUGUAUUGUUAAGAUAUGAUAAUGGCAUUAUGGUUUAAAUAGAGAGAGUCCCUAAUCUUUAGAUAUAGGUACUGAAAUAUUUACAGACAAAAUCUGUAAUGAUGUCUGGGAUUUGUUUCCAAAUAAUCCAGAGACAGUUGGGGGACAAAGGAGAGGACUGGAGAUGAAACAAGACUGGCCAUGAAUGUCGAAAAGUCCACAUAACGCCCACAACUUGUAAUUCAACAUGUACGGGCAUCACUGGACCAUUCUCCUGCUAUAAGUACCUAUCUCCUAGUGCUACCAUAAGAAAAACUUAAAAUCGCCAGAGAAACCUACCCCUGCGUUUCCCUGGGAGCAAAGACUCAGUAUUUGCUAAUUCAGUGUCCAUGGAGACUUUACUAAGAAUUGACUGCACCUUAAGCCCCGUCCUCUGCUGAGUUCCAGAUCUGUUUAUACAAUCGAUUGCCUGCUGGACAUCUGCGUGCUUCGUAACACUGCAAAUUCAACAUGUGCACAAACGCAGUCAUCAUUUUCCUUAUCCCCCUACCCAGCCCACUACUCCACCAGCCAAGCUCCUCCUCCUGAAUUCCUUCUCCCCAGAAGAACACCACUGAUGACCCAGUUCCUGAAAGCGGAACCUUACAGCUCGUGCUGGAGUCGGCUUCUUCAUGUUCCAGGUUCAACAGAUUGCCAGAUCCCGGCUCUCUUCUCUCUGACUCCUUUCAUUCUAAUCAUUCCCUUCACCCCUGUCUGAUGUCAGUCCUCUUAAUCUCUAAGUUGAAUGAUGAAUGACCACGACUACUAAAUGACCUGACAGGGCAAGAAUUGGACUGAGAGGAGAUGCUUCCAAAGGCACCCGUUUUAUUAGUUUUUGCACGGAGAACAUUAUUUUUCCCUGAAACAACCUCAAUCUGAAUUUCCCCUGACUUAGCUCUUGCCCCUUUCCAUUCUCUUCUCCACAAUGCUGUCAGUGGUCCUUCUAAAACACAAGUCCUAUGGCGUCACGUCUGCUUUCCUACACCUUUCUAGCGCAUCCACAAUAAAAGGCCUACAAAGUCCUACAUGAUCAGGCACAGUCUCUCUGACCUCAUCCUCCCAACCCCUGGCCUCUGCUCGUUCCACGUCUGGCUUCCUUGCUAUCCCUUAAACACAUCACACAUACUCCCACCACAGGGCCUUUGCACCUUCAGCUCCCUCUGCCCGAGACCGUCUUUUCACGGGUAGCUUACUGUAAGGCCAGAGAAUUCACAACGUAAGUCAUUCUGCUAAAAUGUUGCUUCCUCAGAAAGGCUCCCCCAACAUCCCCAUGUAAAAAAUCACUCUUCUCAGUUUUUCUCUACCCCUUGGCUCGCCUUUUCUUUCCAGACUCCUGAACCACGGACUUUUAUAUCUGCUCACUUUUGUCCAUGUGUUCCUUAUGAAAUAAAAACUGUGAGAGUGAGGAGUUGGUGUCCUUUACAUCUGUGUCCCCAGCACUUACAAUAAUGCCUAGCACAUGGUUGGUACUCAAGUAUUUGUUAAAUGGAUGAAUAAAUGCCUAAAACCUAUGAUACAUGGUUCCAUAAUGCCUUAAGGGUAAGCUCCAAAUCCCUUAAUAUCUCUCCUCUGCUUCUCUGUGUCAUCUCCCACCUCCCUCUUUUAAACCAUACACUCACAGCUAAGGUAAAGAACAAUGUUGUCCAGAAGCUUCUCUUCACUCUCACUCUAAGUCCCUAUCAUCCUCUCUACCUCUUUCCCUCCUUUUUUUUUUUUUUAAGUUUCAUUAAAAGUUUUGAGAGUGAUGGCAGGGGGAAGGGAUGGGAGAGAAUUACGAGCAUGUUCCGCACUGUCUGCUCAGAGCUCACCAUGGGGGUUGAUCCCAGAACCAGUGCUCUAUUACCCAAGUGUAGUCAGUGAGGGUUUUUUAGGUGAGGAACCAAACUGAGUUUUCUAAGGUAUUCUACAUAUUACUAACAGAUAGUUUAUUAUUUUUAAUAGUUUCUCUAUGAUUUAUAUAAUAAUUUAUAUAAAGAUCUCAAACUCUCAGGGGCAC
Long non-coding RNA from Prionailurus viverrinus (fishing cat), 4931 nucleotides. RefSeq lists it as uncharacterized. The transcript has 3 exons. The record is from RefSeq and is a predicted model, not a curated record. NCBI's taxonomy places the organism in Eukaryota, Metazoa, Chordata, Mammalia, Carnivora, Felidae.